This 366-nucleotide long non-coding RNA is filed under the name Equus caballus (horse). RNAcentral's name for it is "lncRNA (ENSECAG00000045088.1)". Lineage: Eukaryota; Metazoa; Chordata; Mammalia; Perissodactyla; Equidae. The record is from RNAcentral.
GGAUGAGGAGCACUUUGGUGCCGGGGAAGGCUUUUCUCAGCAUGGGACACUCAGCAGACACUUGUGAAAUGAGCAAGCCACCAUCUGGCCCUGGGGACACUGGCUCACUUCUGGAGGUGACCGGAGAGUGUAUCCAGCUGAGAUGAGGCUGGAAAAACACCAUAACGCAAGUGCCCUCAGAUGAAGCAAGUGGUGAUGCCACGUGGCUGUGGGGUCAACAGUCUGGCUGGAGGAUCCCAGAUCUCGGACUUCAUCUGCAGUUUGGCUCUUCCUGGUUCUGCUCCACUGGAACAUCGGGUCUCCCGGGUCUCCAGCCUGCCAGCCUACCCUGGAAGUUUUGGACAUGCCAGCCUCCAUAAUCAUGAG